UGUGUAGGCGGUUCUUUAAGUUUGCUGUGAAAUCUCCCGGCUUAACCGGGAGGGUGCGGUGAAUACUGAGGGACUAGAGUACGGGAGAGGAAAGUGGAAUUCCUGGUGUAGCGGUGAAAUGCGUAGAUAUCAGGAGGAACACCGGUGGCGAAGGCGCACAUCUGGCCCGAUACUGACGCUGAAGCGCGAAAGCUAGGGGAGCAAACG
This 207-nucleotide ribosomal RNA is filed under the name uncultured bacterium. Its description in RNAcentral is "partial 16S ribosomal RNA". It matches the Rfam family "Bacterial small subunit ribosomal RNA", at positions 568 to 774 of the family's 1533-position model. The record is from RNAcentral.